Molecule: ribosomal RNA, 510 nt
Filed under: uncultured bacterium
Lineage: Bacteria
Description: partial 16S ribosomal RNA
Rfam family: Bacterial small subunit ribosomal RNA
Source: RNAcentral
AACGAACGUUAGCGGCGCGCCUAACACAUGCAAGUCGAACGCGACAGGGGCAACUCUGUUGAGUGGCGCACGGGUGAGUAACACGUAGGUAAUCUCCCCCCGAGUGGUGGAUAACCUUCCGAAAGGAGGGCUAAUACAGCAUAAGACCACGGCUUCGAAAGGAGCUGAGGUCAAAGCGGAGGAUCGCAAGACUUCGCGCUUGGGGAUGAGCCGGCGGCCCAUCAGGUAGUUGGAGGGGUAACAGCCCACCAAGCCUAAGGCGGGUAGCUGGUCUGAGAGGAUGAUCAGCCACACUGGAACUAAGACACGGUCCAGACUCCUACGGGAGGCAGCAGUGGGGAAUCUUGCGCAAUGGACGAAAGUCUGACGCAGCGACGCCGCGUGGGUGAUGAAGGCCUUCGGGUUGUAAAGCCCUGUGGGGAGGGACGAAUAAGUUUCAGCUAAUACCUGAAGCGAUGACGGUACCUCCUUAGCAAGCACCGGCUAACUCUGUGCCAGCCGCCGCAGUAA